This 460-nucleotide ribosomal RNA is filed under the name uncultured bacterium. RNAcentral's name for it is "partial 16S ribosomal RNA". It matches the Rfam family "Bacterial small subunit ribosomal RNA", at positions 338 to 795 of the family's 1533-position model. The record is from RNAcentral.
CCUACGGGAGGCAGCAGUGAGGAAUAUUGGUCAAUGGACGAGAGUCUGAACCAGCCAAGUAGCGUGAAGGAUGACUGCCCUAUGGGUUGUAAACUUCUUUUAUAUGGGAAUAAAAUGUUUCACGGGUGGGAUUUUGUAGGUACCAUAUGAAUAAGGAUCGGCUAACUCCGUGCCAGCAGCCGCGGUAAUACGGAGGAUCCGAGCGUUAGUCGGUUUUAUUUGGGUUAAAGGGAGCGUAGGUGGAUUGUUAAGUCAGUUGUGAAAGUUUGCGGUUCAACCGUAAAAUUGCAGUUGAAAGGGGCAGUCUGGAUUACAGUAGAGGUGGGCGGAAUUCGUGGUGUAGCGGUGAAAUGCGUAGAUAUCACGAAGAACUCCGAUGGCGAAGGCAGCUCACUGGACUGCAACUGACACUGAGGCUCGAAAGUGUGGGUAGCAAACAGGAUUAGAUACCCCGGUAGUC